AACGGAGAGAGUAGCAAUAACAAGAUCUCAUCUGUCAAUUUAGUCAUAUUGACAAGAAUUGUUCGUUACAACGGAAAUCACUUCCAAAGAUAUUGGUUAUUAAAAAAUUUGUACCUGUAGGCAGCAUAUGAGCAAUCUUAAAUUUAGAAAAUUCCAGCAGUGUGACAAAUAUCCUCCUUUGAAAUAAAAAUUCUACUCCUGUUA
RNAcentral lists this long non-coding RNA (204 nucleotides) under Salvia miltiorrhiza (redroot sage). RNAcentral describes it as "long non-coding RNA (SMIL_LNC009225)". Lineage: Eukaryota; Viridiplantae; Streptophyta; Magnoliopsida; Lamiales; Lamiaceae. The record is from RNAcentral.